RNAcentral lists this ribosomal RNA (253 nucleotides) under uncultured bacterium. RNAcentral describes it as "partial 16S ribosomal RNA". It matches the Rfam family "Bacterial small subunit ribosomal RNA", at positions 524 to 776 of the family's 1533-position model. The record is from RNAcentral.
UACGUAGGGGGCAAGCGUUGUCCGGAAUCAUUGGGCGUAAAGCGCGCGUAGGCGGCCCGAUAAGUCCGCUGUGAAAGUCCAGGGCUCAACCCUGGAAUGCCGGUGGAUACUGUCGGGCUAGAGUGCGGAAGAGGCGAGUGGAAUUCCUGGUGUAGCGGUGAAAUGCGCAGAUAUCAGGAGGAACACCGGUGGCGAAGGCGGGUCUCUGGGCCGAUACUGACGCUGAGGAGCGAAAGCGUGGGGAGCAAACAGG